Molecule: long non-coding RNA, 646 nt
Organism: Saccostrea cuccullata (small rock oyster)
Lineage: Eukaryota; Metazoa; Mollusca; Bivalvia; Ostreida; Ostreidae
Exons: 3
Source: RefSeq, a predicted model, not a curated record
GCACAUCAUUUAGUGUAGAAGACUUUUUCCUAAAGGCUUUAUUUGUUUAGUAGGAAGACAACUCUGAAGGAAUCGUUUUAUUUGGAAGUAACGAAAAAAAAAAAAAAAACAGAAGUCCAAAUAGCAUCAUUUUUUAUAAACUUUAAGGUCUAGUCAGCAUGGACCCUGUCAGAAAUUUUCUAAAAGGAUUUAUUUUCCCCAAGAUUCAAGAAGAAAGGGAAGAAGCUGAUACGGGUUUAACAACCUUCUGUCCUUGUUGUCGUCCAGAUUUAUUUGGGGUGUUCAACUUAUUUUGGAAGCCUUACAUGUAUGUGAAACUUCGUCCUGUGCAGAGGCAGAUGGAUGAAAUGGGAAUACCAUAUGAUCCAUAUUAUUUGAAACAAUAUGUUUGUGAUUGCAUGUGUCAUAGGCGGCCAAAUUUAGCAUAUUGCAAGUAAAUAAAUAAAGAAGUAAUUUUCCAGACGAUAUUAUAUACGAAGACUGAGGCCGUGUGGAGGAUAUAUAUCUACCUUUUUAAUAGAUUUUAAGCAAGUAUUGCGUAUGUGCUGCAGAUAAUAGUUCACUAUUCAAUACCUAAAAACAUAUAAUAAAAGUUUGACCAAUGUGCAACAUUUUAGUUUUCAUUACCUGAACAUGCUGAAUAUUC